Molecule: non-coding RNA, 945 nt
Filed under: Mytilus edulis (blue mussel)
Lineage: Eukaryota; Metazoa; Mollusca; Bivalvia; Mytilida; Mytilidae
Source: RNAcentral
AGUCUGUAGGAGGGUUUGAUUAUGGCCUUAAAUUUAUAGACAAAAUGCUUCUCAUGAUUCUAAAUGCGAGCUUGAACAGAUUAAGGAUAAGUUCAACAUCAGUGGGGAAAAUUGGUUAAUAAAGGAACUUUAACCCAGCUUUUUGAUAAUUUCGGGGUUAAUUGAUGAAUGCCAGCAGCCGCGGUUAGAUUCAGUUCGAAUAUAAAUUUAAGCGGAUUGGUUAGAGUCAAUGUUGGGUCUAUAAAACUAUAAAAAAACUAUAGGUGCAGUGUAAUGUUAACGGUUUUUUGUGGUUAUAUUCCUGAAGUUUUAGUGAGUUUCUAACGAAUCUAUGAAGUGAAACCAGGAUUAGAUACCCUGUUAUCCAUAGUUUAAAACAGAAGUUCCUCUUAACUAAACAUUUGGUUGUCAAAGAGAAAUAAAUAGGCGGUGUCUGAGAUAGAAAACAGGGGAUCCUGGGUGUUAAAGGAUAACCCACCUACAUUUGAGCCUUGUCUUAUUAGUGCGUGUGUAUGGUUGUUUACUCUAAUAUGGUGAGUGUCCGGGUAAAAAUUUUGGUUAUUGCUAAAGUUAGGGUUUAUUUUAUUGGUUAAGUUUGGUAAAAUAAGUUAGCUUUAGCUAGAUGCAGCUAGUAGAAGGGGUUUAUUCACCUUUGUAGCACAGCUUCAAAAAUAAUUCAGAUUGACAUGCAGCUUAUGAUAAGGUUAAUCUGGGAUACAGUUGCAGCUUAAGCAAUAGUUUAAAUUUAAACUAUUAAGUAGUAUAAAUAAUCUAACGAAUAAGGUAAGAAAACUUGACUUUGAAGAAGGACUUGUAAGUAAGGGUUGAAAAUAAAACCGCCCUGAAUACAAUCAGAUGAGUACUAAUCGCCCGUCGCUCGCGGGGAAACCUGUGAAAAGUCGUAACAAGGUAGCAGUAACGGAAGUUGUUGCUAGGCCAUAAUAU